UCGAACGGUUAAAGCACCUUCGGGUGUGUAUAGAGUGGCGAACGGCUGAGUAACACGUGGGCAACCUGCCCUUUGCAUCGGGACAGCCUCGGGAAACCGUGGUUAAUACCGGAUACUCCAUCUUUCUCACAUGAAAAAGAUGGGAAAGUGUUUAGCGGCAAGGGAUGGGCCCGCGCCCUGUUAGCUUGUUGGUGGGGUAAAAGCCUACCAAGGCAAUGAUGGGUAGCCGGGUUGAGAGACCGACCGGCCAGAUUGGGACUGAGACACGGCCCAGACUCCUACGGGAGGCAGCAGUGGGGAAUCUUGCACAAUGGGCGAAAGCCUGAUGCAGCGACGCCGCGUGCGGGAUGAAGGCCUUCGGGUUGUAAACCGCUUUCAGCAGGGACGAGGCGAAAGUGACGGUACCUGUAGAAGAAGCCCCGGCUAACUACGUGCCAGCAGCCGCGGUAAUACGUAGGGGGCAAGCGUUAUCCGGAUUCAUUGGGCGUAAAGCGCGCGUAGGCUGCCCAGUAGGUCGAGAGUUAAAUCCGGGGGCUCAACCCCCGUCCGCUCCCGAUACCGCUGGGCUUCGAGUCUGGUAGGGGAAAGGUGGAAUUCCCAGUGUAGCGGUGGAAUGCGCAGAUAUUGGGAAGAACACCGGUGGCGAAGGCGGCCUUCUGGGCCAUGACUGACGCUGAGGCGCGAAAGCUAGGGGAGCGAACAGGAUU
This 707-nucleotide ribosomal RNA is filed under the name uncultured Olsenella sp. RNAcentral's name for it is "bacterial SSU rRNA". It matches the Rfam family "Bacterial small subunit ribosomal RNA", at positions 62 to 779 of the family's 1533-position model. Lineage: Bacteria; Bacillati; Actinomycetota; Coriobacteriia; Coriobacteriales; Atopobiaceae. The record is from RNAcentral.